Long non-coding RNA from Amphiprion ocellaris (clown anemonefish), 620 nucleotides. Lineage: Eukaryota; Metazoa; Chordata; Actinopteri; Pomacentridae. The record is from Ensembl.
GAUCCUGGACCAUCCCACAGAUGCUCAAUCAGAUCUGGAUGUGGGGAGUGUGGAACCCAGAUGCACAAUGAGGGACGUCUGCAGAGACUGAGAAAGAGUCUCACCACAUCCUGACAUGAGGAAAAAGACUUUAUUGAAGACUACAAUGAGAAAAACUAUCAGACAGCAGACGGCUGCAUUCAAGUCUGUAGCUGCUGAAUUCAUGGAUGAAUCAUCUGGCACUAGAGAAGAAGACCAUCAAACAUCCACGUCAGCUGAUGGAGGUCCAAGAGUCUCACCAAACAACCUACAGAGUGAAGACCUCAAAUCUGAUUGGACGGCCUCCUAUUCAGCCACAUGUGUGAACAAAUGCCUCUAAGCUGAUUUGUUUUCUAAAAUAAAUCUAGUUUGAGUCCUAAUCUAUGCCUGUGUGUUUGCUUCUUUACACUGCUGUUAACAGUUUAGGCUGUUAGAUUGUUCCAGAUAAGACAAGUACAAGAUACUUCAGAGCCGUUCUACCACGAGCCUGACAGGAAGAACUCCAACAGCUACUGAAUGUUCCUGUGGUCCCCUCAAGGCUACAGGAGGAGCCCUAUGAGGACGAGCCGGUCCACCUGAUGGUGGCCAGUUGCUGCGGUUCA